Molecule: long non-coding RNA, 563 nt
Organism: Populus euphratica (Euphrates poplar)
Lineage: Eukaryota; Viridiplantae; Streptophyta; Magnoliopsida; Malpighiales; Salicaceae
Exons: 3
Source: RefSeq, a predicted model, not a curated record
AGCAAUGACAACAGACUUUUCUGUGGGCUGAACGUAGUGAAGGUAGCUUGGUUGGAAAGGUUAAGUCAAAAAAGGUGAAAUUGUAUGUACGUAGUCGCUAUAGCUCAACUAUUGGAAUGAAAGCUUCGGUUUCGAAAGUAGAGAGAAGGCAGCAAGCAUAGGUCCUUCGGUCCAUAGGCAGGCAUUCAUUUCUGUCUCAUUUUCAUUUCAGGAAAAAUCUGUUGCCGCUAUAUAAAUCACACAUGCGUAAGGUUCACUGGCUUGAGAAAUUUAACUGGUUCACCAGCACUUGGAACUAUUUGGUUAUUAGCAGGCGUGAUGCUCAGCAAAAUGAGAAGACGGUCAAGCGUUAUAUGUCAAAAGGAGAUCUGUAUGUCCAUGCAGAUCUGGAGCUACUAGUACUGUGAUAAAAAACCACAGGCCUGAACAACCUGUACCUCCUCUCACAUUAAAUCAAGGAGAAUACCUUAUAGAUGAAGGAGAAGUAUGGCAAUCAGGACGAGGAAGAGAGGAGCAUUCGGAUGGCUUUACUGGCUGGGAGCACUAUGACUUAAUCUACUUUU